AACGAACGCUGGCGGCAUGCCUAACACAUGCAAGUCGAACGAGACCUUCGGGUCUAGUGGCGCACGGGUGCGUAACGCGUGGGAACCUGCCCUUAGGUUCGGAAUAACUCCCCGAAAGGGGUGCUAAUACCGGAUAAUGUCUUCGGACCAAAGAUUUAUCGCCUUUGGAUGGGCCCGCGUUGGAUUAGCUAGUUGGUAGGGUAAAAGCCUACCAAGGCGACGAUCCAUAGCUGGUCUGAGAGGAUGAUCAGCCACACUGGGACUGAGACACGGCCCAGACUCCUACGGGAGGCAGGAGUGGGGGAUAUUGGACCAUGGGCGAAAGCCUGAUCCAGCAAUGACGGGUGAGUGAUGAAGGCAUGAGGGUUGUAAAGCUCUUUUACCCGGGAUGAUAAUGACAGUACCGGGAGAAUAAGCUCCGGCUAACUCCGUG
RNAcentral lists this ribosomal RNA (433 nucleotides) under uncultured bacterium. RNAcentral's name for it is "partial 16S ribosomal RNA". It matches the Rfam family "Bacterial small subunit ribosomal RNA", at positions 29 to 507 of the family's 1533-position model. The record is from RNAcentral.